RNAcentral lists this ribosomal RNA (526 nucleotides) under uncultured bacterium. Its description in RNAcentral is "bacterial SSU rRNA". It matches the Rfam family "Bacterial small subunit ribosomal RNA", at positions 1 to 518 of the family's 1533-position model. The record is from RNAcentral.
CCUUGGCGUCUCAGAGAGUUUGAUUAUGGCUCAGGAUGAACGCUGGCGGCGUGCUUAACACAUGCAAGUCGAACGGAGUUAUUAAACGGAAGUUUUCGGAUGGAAGUUUAAGAACUUAGUGGCGGACGGGUGAGUAACGCGUGGGUAAUCUGCCUCAUACAGGGGGAUAACAGUUAGAAAUGACUGCUAACACCGCAUAAUAUAGCGAAACCGCAUGAUUUUUGCUAUCAAAUAUUUAUAGGUAUGAGAUGGGCCCGCGUCUGAUUAGCUAGUUGGUGGGGUAAAAGCCUACCAAGGCGACGAUCAGUAGCCGGCUUGAGAGAGUGACCGGCCACAUUGGGACUGAGACACGGCCCAAACUCCUACGGGAGGCAGCAGUGGGGAAUAUUGGACAAUGGGGGAAACCCUGAUCCAGCGAACCGCCGCGUGAGUGAAGAAGUAUUUCGGUAUGUAAAGCUCUAUCAGCAGGGAAGAUAAUGACAGUACCUGACUAAGAAGCCCCGGCUAACUACGUGCCAGCAGCCGC